RNAcentral lists this ribosomal RNA (497 nucleotides) under uncultured bacterium. RNAcentral's name for it is "partial 16S ribosomal RNA". It matches the Rfam family "Bacterial small subunit ribosomal RNA", at positions 28 to 507 of the family's 1533-position model. The record is from RNAcentral.
GAUGAACGCUGGCGGCGUGCCUAAUACAUGCAAGUCGAGCGAACGGACGAGAAGCUUGCUUCUCUGAUGUUAGCGGCGGACGGGUGAGUAACAGGUGGAUAACCUACCUCUAAGACUGGGAUAACUUCGGGAAACCGGAGCUAAUACCGGGUAAUAUUUUGAACCGCAUGGUUCAAAAGUGAAAGCGGGUCUUGCUGUCACUUAUAGCUGGAUCCGCGCUGGUUUAGCUAGUUGGUAAGGUAACGGCUUCCGAAGGCAACGAUGAAUUGCCGACCGGGGAGGGGGUUGCGCCACUCUGGAAGUGGACCACGGUCCAGGCUCCUACGGGCGGCACCAGUACGGAAGCUUCCGCGAUGUGCGGAAGCUUGACGGAGCAGCGCCGCGUGGGUGAAGAAGGGCCUCGUAGCGUAAAACUGUGUUAUGAUUGAAGAACAUAUUUGCAAGGAACUGUGCAUAUCGUGACGGUACCUAAUCAGAAAGCCCCGGCUAACUACGUG